AGUCACUCCAAAUCCUUCAAAUAAGUAGCUUAACCCAGAGAGGAGGUACUCACUGCAUAUAUCUAAAAUGUAAACCACCCCAUUCAUGACAAUGCAAGAAUUAUGGGUGUAGGCUGAGCAAGAGAAAAUAGAAGAGAAGAAAAUAUGAAGAUGAGAACAGUAAGGGAAAAAAAAGGAACUUCAUAGCUCAACCUAGAAACUAAGUCUAAAUCUCUGGGGUAAAUUUGGUAAAGAUUGGUCUUAUGUUAAGAUCUUAUUAAUCAAGAAACACAUGAUCAUCCUUUUUUUCUAGAAAAGCAGAAAUAGAAAACAAAAUCAUGUGGAAAGAUAAUUCACAGCAUCAAUAAAUUAAGAUUUUUCUUCACAAUAAAAAGUAAAUAGAGAUGACAAAAUAAAACCGAAAUUACAUGAAUAGGUUUUUCCUCCAAAUAACUACAAGCCUAGGCAUCCAUAGAUUAACAUAAAAAGUAGAAGAGAAGGAGAAUGAACUCAAUAAUCAGAAAAUGCAGAAACACAAGAAUUGCAAAAGAUGGAAAUAAUUUGAUUUACCAAGAUUAGUUGACGUAGAACCACAAAGAACACUCAAAAGGGGAAAUGGAAAUGCUCUUUAGUUUGAUUAGUUCUCCAUUGUCAAUAAUAAUCAUAAUCAGCUCUCUAAAAGUUAUCUAAGUCUCUGUUUUGUGGAAAAUAAUUUAUGUAUGAAAAAUGUUUUUCAUGGGUUUUAAUCGUAAUCAUCUGAAUGUGUUUGUGGAUGAAAAAUAGCCACAAAGUUAAGGGAGAGAUUAAGAAAUGCCAAAUCGAUGUGAAACACUCAAAGGAGAAAAGGAA
Molecule: unclassified non-coding RNA, 828 nt
Filed under: Hevea brasiliensis (rubber tree)
Lineage: Eukaryota; Viridiplantae; Streptophyta; Magnoliopsida; Malpighiales; Euphorbiaceae
Source: RNAcentral